This 459-nucleotide ribosomal RNA is filed under the name uncultured bacterium. Its description in RNAcentral is "partial 16S ribosomal RNA". It matches the Rfam family "Bacterial small subunit ribosomal RNA", at positions 338 to 795 of the family's 1533-position model. The record is from RNAcentral.
CCUACGGGAGGCAGCAGUGGGGAAUCUUGGGCAAUGGGCGGGAGCCUGAACCAGCCAAGCCGCGUGAGGGAAGAAGGUACAGCGUAUCGUAAACCUCUUUUGUAAGGGAACAAAGGCGGGGACUAGUCCCCGGAUGAGGGUACCUGAAGAAAAAGCAUCGGCUAACUCCGUGCCAGCAGCCGCGGUAAUACUGAGGAUGCGAGCGUUAUCCGGAUUUAGUGGGUUUAAAGGGUGCGCAGGCGGCCUGUUAAGUCAGCGGUAAAAGCCCGGGGCUCAACCCCAGCGAGCCGUUGAAACUGGCGGGCUGGAGUGGGAGAGAAGUACGCGGAAUGCGAGGUGUAGCGGUGAAAUGCUUAGAUAUCGCGCAGAACCCCGAUGGCGAAGGCAGCGUACUGGCUCCACACUGACGCUGAGGCACGAAAGCGUGGGUAUCGAACAGGAUUAGAUACCCUUGUAGUC